UAAUACGUAGGAGGCAAGCGUUAUCCGGAUUUAUUGGUCGUAAAGAGGGCGCAGGCGGUCUUUCAAGUCGGAUGUGAAAUCUCCCAGCUUAACUGGGAGGGGUCAUGCGAUACUGUUGGGCUAGAGGGCAGUAGAGGGAGGUGGAAUUCCCGGUGUAGUGGUGAAAUGCGUAGAUAUCGGGAGGAACACCAGUGGCGAAGGCGGCCUCCUGGGCUGUACCUGACGCUGAGGCCCAAAAGCGUGGGGAGCAAACAGGAUUAGAUACCCUGGUAGUCCACGCCGUAAACUAUGGACACUAGGUAGGGGGAGUAUCGACCCUUUCCCUGCCGAAGCUAACGCUUUAAGUGUCCCGCCUGGGAAGUACGGCCGCAAGGCUA
RNAcentral lists this ribosomal RNA (377 nucleotides) under uncultured bacterium. RNAcentral's name for it is "bacterial SSU rRNA". It matches the Rfam family "Bacterial small subunit ribosomal RNA", at positions 521 to 896 of the family's 1533-position model. The record is from RNAcentral.